CCUACGGGUGGCAGCAGUGGGGAAUAUUGGGCAAUGGACGCAAGUCUGACCCAGCAACGCCGCGUGAAGGAAGAAGGCUUUCGGGUUGUAAACUUCUUUUAAGGGGGAAGAGCAGAAGACGGUACACCUUGAAUAAGCCACGGCUAACUACGUGCAAGCAGCCGCGGUAAUACGUAGGUGGCAAGCGUUGUACGGAUUUACUGGGUGUAAGGGGGGCGCGGACGGCGAUGCAAGCCAGGAGUGAAAGCCCGGGGCCCAACCCCGGGACUGCUCUUGGAACUGCGUGGCUGGAGUGCAGGAGGGGCAGUCGGAAUUCCUGGUGUAGGGGUGAAAUGCGUAGAUAUUAGGAGGAACACCGGUGGCGAAGGCGGCCUGCUGGACUGCAACGGACGUUGAGGCCCGAAAGCGUGGGGAGCAAACAGGAUUAGAUACCCUAGUAGUC
RNAcentral lists this ribosomal RNA (442 nucleotides) under uncultured bacterium. RNAcentral's name for it is "partial 16S ribosomal RNA". It matches the Rfam family "Bacterial small subunit ribosomal RNA", at positions 338 to 795 of the family's 1533-position model. The record is from RNAcentral.